CAAGUCGAACGGCAGCACAGUGUGUAGCAAUACACAUGGGUGGCGAGUGGCGGACGGGUGCGUAAUGUGUAGGGAUCUGCCCUGAAGUGGGGGACAACCCGGGGAAACCCGGGCUAAUACCGCAUAAUACUCUACGGAGGAAAUCCGGCUACGUAAGUAGCUGGGGCUUUAGGAUGAACCUACAUCCGAUUAGCUAGUUGGUGAGGUAAUAGCUUACCAAGGCAAUGAUCGGUAGCUGGUCUGAGAGGAUGACCAGCCACACUGGGACUGAGACACGGCCCAGACUCCUACGGGAGGCAGCAGUGGGGAAUAUUGGACAAUGGGGGAAACCCUGAUCCAGCAAUGCCGCGUGGGUGAAGAAGGCCUUCGGGUUGUAAAGCCCUUUAGGCGGGGAAGAAGGUAUUAGGGUGAUAAGCCUUAAUGCUUGACGGUACCCGCAGAAUAAGCACCGGCUAACUCUGUGCCAGCAGCCGCGGUAAUACAGAGGGUGCAAGCGUUAAUCGGAUUUACUGGGCGUAAAGGGCGCGUAGGUGGUAAAGCAAGUAAGAUGUGAAAUCCCUGGGCUUAACCUAGGAAGUGCAUCUUAAACUGCUUAACUAGAGUAUGGUAGAGGGUAGUGGAAUUUCCGGUGUAGCGGUGAAAUGCGUAGAUAUCGGAAGGAACGCCAGUGGUGAAGACGACUACCUGGACCAAUACUGACACUGAGGCGCGAGAGCGUGGGGAGCGAACAGGAUUAGAUACCCUGGUAGUCCACGCUGUAAACGAUGAGGACUGGAUGUCAGGCAGCUUGGCUGUUUGGUAUCGAAGCUAACGCGAUAAGUUCUCCGCCUGGGAAGUACGGCCGCAAGGUUAAAACUCAAAUGAAUUGACGGGGGCCCGCACAAGCGGUGGAGCAUGUGGUUUAAUUCGAUGCACCGCGA
Molecule: ribosomal RNA, 920 nt
Filed under: uncultured Gammaproteobacteria bacterium
Lineage: Bacteria; Pseudomonadati; Pseudomonadota; Gammaproteobacteria
Description: bacterial SSU rRNA
Rfam family: Bacterial small subunit ribosomal RNA
Source: RNAcentral